UGGGGAAUAUUGCACAAUGGGCGCAAGCCUGAUGCAGCCAUGCCGCGUGUGUGAAGAAGGCCUUCGGGUUGUAAAGCACUUUCAGCGGGGAGGAAGGCGUUAAGGUUAAUAACCUUGGCGAUUGACGUUACCCGCAGAAGAAGCACCGGCUAACUCCGUGCCAGCAGCCGCGGUAAUACGUAGGGUGCAAGCGUUAAUCGGAAUUACUGGGCGUAAAGCGCACGCAGGCGGUCUGUCAAGUCGGAUGUGAAAUCCCCGGGCUCAACCUGGGAAAUGCAUUCGAAAAUGGCAGGCUAGAGUCUUGUAGAGGGGGGUAGAAUUCCAGGUGUAGCGGUGAAAUGCGUGGAGAUCUGGAGGAAUACCGGUGGCGAAGGCGGCCCCCUGGACAAAGACUGACGCUCAGGUGCGAAAGCGUGGGGAGCAAACAGG
RNAcentral lists this ribosomal RNA (429 nucleotides) under Chloroflexota bacterium. RNAcentral describes it as "Chloroflexi bacterium partial 16S ribosomal RNA". It matches the Rfam family "Bacterial small subunit ribosomal RNA", at positions 355 to 776 of the family's 1533-position model. Lineage: Bacteria; Bacillati; Chloroflexota. The record is from RNAcentral.